CAAACUUCAAUGCAUUUGUUGUUUUUGUUGGUGUUGUUGAUAUUUUUUGUGACAAACCAACAGAAAGCAAUGCAAAAUUAGAAGAAGGUAAUGGUGGUUAAUAUUUGUUUUACAAUCAAAUUUAGAAAGUUUUGCCAUAUAUUUGUUUUUGUAAAUAUUUUAUAGAUCAAUUUUAGCUGCAAUUUUCAUCUCCUGCUCUUUUAUAGAAAAUAGCUCAAGUUCAAUCAGACUUUAUGUUCAGCAUCUGCCAAUGCCAACUGGUUUUGACAUAGAUUCUUAGAUGAAUUUAAGUCUGGGCUUUGACUUUGACCCACUGUAGCUCCGGGUGUUUUUUUUUGGUUUGCUGUCAUUGCAGGAAGGUGAACAUCAAGUCUUCUGCAGCAUCUCUCAGGUUUCCUUCACAUAUACUGUAUUUAGCUCCUUCAGUCUCCCGAUCACAUUUGACCAGCUUUCCUCACCCUGCUGAAGAAAAGAAUCACCACCACAGCAUGAUGCAGCCACUACCAUGUUACAUUGUAGGGAUUGUAGUCCGAAAAAGUUGAUCAGACCAGAGCACAUCCUUUCUACUUCUGAAGCUAACUGAAUGCAUUUGAUUUUAUUCAUGGUAUCAUAGCGUAAAGGGAUAUUUUCACUUCACACUUAUGCACUUGAAUUCCAACAAAGCACAUUAAAAUUUGUGGUUAUGUGAAAAAGUGUGGAAAAAGUUCACAAAAAGUGUGGAAAAAGUUCAAACGACAUAAAUAUUUUGCCAUGGGAUUGUAUUUGAGCAAAGUAAAUUCACUCAUGACUGAGCCGUGAUACAAAAGUUCUCAUUUAUUGAUUUAUUUCACUGCAUAUCUGUUAUUAAAACAUCUGCAAAAAAAAUAAAAUAAAGUCAACCUUACCCUCUAGGAUCCUGUGUGGCACGGUUAUUUCUUAUCAAGAUUGUUUUUAAAGCACAAAAGCAUCACACAGACUUUCUUUGCAUAGACUGCACCACCGUCGCUUUCCAUCAGACGCCUUAACAAGGCUGCACAGCACGAAAACACUUUGACCCCUUUUAAUUUGCUAUCCUCCAGAGUUUCUCUUACCCAGGGGCCUCCUCCUCUGUAAAUAGGAGGUAAGAGUGUGAAUAAUUACUUUAAUUGACCUGAACCCUUUGUGAUUAUGAUAGUUUAGCUGCCACUCUGCAGCAUUUACAAACAGUUUGAAACAGAGACAGGUUGAAGGGGUAACUGAAAGCAUUUUAAGCUAGAAUAUUGGAUAUUUCUGUUUUCCUCCUGACCAUUUUUCAUUAAUGUAAUAUUUACAGGGUAAUCUCAAGCAACGAUAAAAAAUACAACAUGGCUGAUUUUAUACUUGUAACUGGUUCAAAGAGUAAAUGACAAGGAGAGCAUCAGUGUAUGAGCUUUUUAUCUCUGGCACGCAACAAAUAUUUAAUACCUUAAUGCCAAGUAGUAGUGACAGUCCUUCAGGUUAUGCUCAUAGUUAUCCGAGUUUAUUCAAAUGUCAGUGUUUAUUUACAUAAUUGCUUUGAGAAGAGAUAUUAUAAACAGAAAUUGUUUUUUUUUGUUGUUGUUUGUUUGUCCAAUUGAGGCUGUUUAAUGAUGAACCUGGUGUUCAAAGUCAUCUUCUUUAUCCACCAACAAAAUAAACAGCAAUAGACUUUCAGCCAACCUGUUCAGUGACCCAAAAACAGAUGUAAAUGGUAAAAUGGUAAAUGGACUGAACUUAUGUAGCGCUUUUUCAAUCAUUCUGACCACUCAAAGCGCUUUACACUAGAGUCACAUUCACCCAUUAAGCACUCACAAACGCUCACACAUUUAUACACCGAUACGCAGAUCGGUAGAUGUGUUUGUACUUCACAAUGCUGAGUGUCAGGCAAGGACAACACAAGAAACAACCUAAAACAUACAUUUCUCUCACCAGCAAUGUUGCUUUUUAGUUAUAGGUGGACUCUAAACUGAGGUAAAUAAAUCUGACUUUAAAUGAGUCUUGAAUUACAUUGUCCAUUUAAAAACACAAAAACACUUAAAAUGAGUGUAAACUCUUCCUAUAAUCCAGUCAAGGCUUUUUUUUUUCUUUGAAUAAGUCUACAUGUUUUAGAAAAAAGUGCUUUUUCAUAUUGUUAACUCCAGAGGCUAGAUGCAUAAAUCAUGUGUGCACACACCCCUGCAUAUGCACACACACACAAAUAAACCAUACAUAUGCCUUCAACUACUUAUGCUAUGAGAAUAUUGAGCCUCAUUUUUCAGACCACUUAUUCAGCAAGUGAUUUCAGUCCAAUAGGAUAAAGCAAAAAUGAAAAAAAAAACGUGGAGAUAAUUUAUUAUGAUUGUAAAAGGUUUUACUGGACAUAAAUGAGAACUAACUAUCUGAAUACUAUACUAUACUGUGUGAAUAUAUUACAAA
Xiphophorus hellerii (green swordtail) is the source of this 2391-nucleotide long non-coding RNA. RefSeq lists it as uncharacterized. NCBI's taxonomy places the organism in Eukaryota, Metazoa, Chordata, Actinopteri, Cyprinodontiformes, Poeciliidae. The transcript has 4 exons. The record is from RefSeq and is a predicted model, not a curated record.